GGCUCAGGACGAACGCUGGCGGCGUGCCUAAUACAUGCAAGUCGAGCGGACAGAAGGGAGCUUGCUCCCGGAUGUUAGCGGCGGACGGGUGAGUAACACGUGGGUAACCUGCCUGUAAGACUGGGAUAACUCCGGGAAACCGGAGCUAAUACCGGAUAGUUCCUUGAACCGCAUGGUUCAAGGAUGAAAGACGGUUUCGGCUGUCACUUACAGAUGGACCCGCGGCGCAUUAGCUAGUUGGUGGGGUAAUGGCUCACCAAGGCGACGAUGCGUAGCCGACCUGAGAGGGUGAUCGGCCACACUGGGACUGAGACACGGCCCAGACUCCUACGGGAGGCAGCAGUAGGGAAUCUUCCGCAAUGGACGAAAGUCUGACGGAGCAACGCCGCGUGAGUGAUGAAGGUUUUCGGAUCGUAAAGCUCUGUUGUUAGGGAAGAACAAGUGCGA
Molecule: ribosomal RNA, 447 nt
Filed under: Bacillus sp. (in: firmicutes)
Lineage: Bacteria; Bacillati; Bacillota; Bacilli; Caryophanales; Bacillaceae
Description: bacterial SSU rRNA
Rfam family: Bacterial small subunit ribosomal RNA
Source: RNAcentral